GAUAAAGAACGUAGUGAAAUGCGAUAAGUAGUGUGAAUUGCAGAAUUCAGUGAAUCAUCGAAUCUUUGAACGCACAUUGCGCCCCUUGGUAUUCCAUGGGGCAUGCCUGUUCGAGCGUCAUUUGUACCUUCAAGCUCUGCUUGGUGUUGGGUGUUUUGUCUCGCCUCUGCGUGUAGACUCGCCUUAAAACAAUUGGCAGCCGGCGUAUUGAUUUCGGAGCGCAGUACAUCUCGCGCUUUGCACUCAUAACGGCGACGUCCAAAAGUACAUUUUUACACUCUUGACCUCGGAUCAGGUAGGGAUACCCGCUGAACUUAAGCAUAUCAAUAAGCGGAGGA
Molecule: unclassified non-coding RNA, 338 nt
Filed under: soil metagenome
Description: partial contains 5.8S ribosomal RNA, internal transcribed spacer 2, and large subunit ribosomal RNA
Rfam family: 5.8S ribosomal RNA (bases 1-120)
Source: RNAcentral